UACGUAGGGUGCGAGCGUUAAUCGGAAUUACUGGGCGUAAAGCGUGCGCAGGCGGUUUUGUAAGCCAGAUGUGAAAUCCCCGGGCUUAACCUGGGAAUGGCAUUUGGGACUGCAAGGCUGGAGUUUUGCAGAGGAGACUGGAAUUCCUGGUGUAGCAGUGAAAUGCGUAGAUAUCAGGAGGAAUACCGAUGGCGAAGGCAGGUCUCUGGGCUGACACUGACGCUCAUGCACGAAAGCGUGGGGAGCAAACAGG
RNAcentral lists this ribosomal RNA (253 nucleotides) under uncultured bacterium. Its description in RNAcentral is "partial 16S ribosomal RNA". It matches the Rfam family "Bacterial small subunit ribosomal RNA", at positions 524 to 776 of the family's 1533-position model. The record is from RNAcentral.